This is a small nuclear RNA of Prosopis cineraria, 102 nucleotides long. NCBI's taxonomy places the organism in Eukaryota, Viridiplantae, Streptophyta, Magnoliopsida, Fabales, Fabaceae. The record is from RefSeq and is a predicted model, not a curated record.
GUCCCAUGGGGACAUCCAAUAAAAUUGGAAUAAUACAUAGGAGAUUAGCAUGGCCGCUGUGCAAUAAUGACGCCCACAAAUUGAGAAAAAAUAUUGAAAAAA